Non-coding RNA from Danio rerio (zebrafish), 964 nucleotides. The record is from RefSeq and is a predicted model, not a curated record. Lineage: Eukaryota; Metazoa; Chordata; Actinopteri; Cypriniformes; Danionidae.
GUUUAAAAUCCUGUAGUGUGAACUAGGCUUAAGCCUGGUCUCUCUCCUUCACUUUGGUCAACUGGUGAAGUUUGUUCCUCCACUUUCUCCACUGGUCUGCUUGGUUUGGGUCUUGUGGAUCUGUUGGAUGGAUCUGCUCUUCAGUGUUUGGACUCUCAGCGGUGAAGAUUAAAGCACACUGCACUGAACAGAACUGAACUUCAGCUCUGAACACUGGACUGACACAGCUUCAGUUUACUAGAACUUCAGUGUUCAGCUGCUGCCACAAUCUACUGUAGAGGCGCUGGAGGAACACUGAGGAGCUGAACUGAAUGUGUGAUAAACUCUGCUCUAUGAGUUAAUAAAGUCCUCAUUCAGAUCAGUGUUGAUCCAGCUCACGUCACUGAACACACAUUAACUCAAAACACGACUAAACUCAUUCCCUCUGCUGCGCGCUGAACAGAUUUAUAACGCGGUAAAUGUUCAAGCUGCUGUUGAAGUAAAUAAUGAGGCAUGUGACUCCGCGCGCAGCGUAACCCUCAGAAAGAAACUACAUUUCCCAGAAUACAGCGCGCGCUCUACUUCCUCAGCCGCAGCGCAGAGUCUCCGCACUCAAACAGCACCAAACCACUGUGUGUGUCCUAAUUAUCUCUCACAAUGAGAGAAACACACUCCAUAUUUCAGCUCGGGAAUAAAUGAAGCCCGUUUCUAAGGGGUUGGUGCUGAAACUCAAGUGUGCCAAGAAGAAUCAUGAACCUUCAUCAGGUGCUCACGGGCGCCGUCAACCCUGGAGACAACUGCUUCUCUGUGGGACGCAUACACAACCAGCCCUUCACGGCGUACGCCUCUGGCUGUGACAUCGUGAUUCUGGGCAGUGACUUUGAAAGGAUUCAGAUCAUCCCAGGAGCCAAUCAUGGCAACGUUCAGGUGGGCUGCGUGGACUGUUCACCACAGGGCGGACAGGUAAGUCACACACACACAUAUA